This is a non-coding RNA of Saimiri boliviensis boliviensis (Bolivian squirrel monkey), 3030 nucleotides long. NCBI's taxonomy places the organism in Eukaryota, Metazoa, Chordata, Mammalia, Primates, Cebidae. The record is from RefSeq and is a predicted model, not a curated record.
GGCGGCGCCCGGGCAGCUGUUGUGUGGCUGCGCUGGCGCUGCAGGGCGGGAUGCUGUAUCCCCGGGAGAGCCGGUCGCGGGAGCGCAAGGAGCUGGACGGCUUCUGGAGCUUCCACGAUAACUUCUCCCAGGAUCAGUGGUAGCGGCGGCUGCUGCGGUACUCAGGAGAGGGCCGGGAGGCGCACGGAAGCCCGGCGGAGGGAGUGGGGGAGCCCGGGCCACCUCGCAGGCUCCUUACCCUGGGUGCCAGGUGGUUGGGAGCCCAGAGAAGGUUAAAGUCUGGCCCCACCCUGGACAUGCAGGUUCUCUCCAGCUUCAAGAACAUCUGCUAGGACUGGCGGCUAUGGCAUUUUGUCAGCUGGGUAUGGUACAUAUAGGAAGUGACCCUGCCAGAGUGGUGGGCCCAGGACCUGUACACAAGAAUGGUGCUGAGGAUUGGCAGUGUCCACUCCUGUGCCAUUGCGGUGACUGAGAAGUGGGCCGAGGACACCUUCAGACUAAACUCCAAUGAUGAGGAAAUCCACACAGCCAGCGAGCACUGCCUGAAGGUGGUCAUGGACCUUAGGCUAUGGAUGCGGCUCCAUGCUCUCCGGCCUCCUCUGGGAGCUCAUCAGGACCAUGGUGGAUCUGACAGAGGGAAUAUGACGUCCUCUUCCCAGGGUACACCCACCUGCAUAGGGCCCAGUCUCUUCACUGGAGCCUCUGGAUUCCGAGAACUCAACUUUGGGCCCAUCACUCUUAACAGCAUGGAUGCCACCAGUGAGCAUAAUUUCGUGGCUGAGUUCCUGUUCUGGGCUUCAUUCUGUAUGACCCAUCUCAGCAGGAUGGCCAGGGACCUCAUCCUCUACGGCACCAAGGAAUUCAGCUUCGUGUAGCUCUCAAAUGCCUACAGACCUGGCCAGUGAGCUGCUGGACCAGCCAAGGGCCCAGCCCCUUCAGUGCCUGCAUCUCUGUCUGCAGCUCCAGAAGCAGCCUGAUGCCUCAGAAGAAAAACCCUGACAGCUUGGAGCUGAUCUGGAACAAGGAAUCAUGGAGCACGCAACACAUCCCGGUGCUGUUCUCAGCUUUCUGUGGCCUCUUGGUCACCCUUUCCUACCAUCUGAGCUGGCAGAGCAGUGACCCAUCUGUGUUCAUAUGAGUGAUCUAUGGCUUUGCUCUGUCAUCACUGAGCAGGGGGCAUGGUUCCCUCAGCUUUGUGCCCUGACUGAGGUGAGGAGAUGGCAAAUCACUGCCCAUUGUGAUUUGACUCUCAUUAUUAAACUACCUGGUCGUUCACCAGAGGAGGGCAGGAGAAAUACAGGACCAGCCAGAAACUAAUAACAGUUAACAGUGAACAUCUGGCAAAUAUUUUAGCUUUGCUGAUUUGAUUUUGGAGUAAAAUGAACAGUGGCAGGAACAGACAACCAAUAGCACCCAAUCCCUGUUGUGGCUUUCCGCUGGGUGAGAAGGUACCACCUCAACGGUACCCUCUCUAGAUCCAUUAAGCUGCAUGCCUGCAUUUACUCUAGGCAGUUGCCUGUGGAGACUAAACCAGCACCUCUGAAAGGAGGUGUUUUGUUGUGAUGGUGGUUCUCAAUUUAGCAAACACCCUCUGGAUUUAAAGUGAGAUUUGCACCAAAGUGUUAAAAUGUAUUUAAUGUGAUCCUUACUAAUGUGAAUGUAUACAUUACAAUCUUCCCUUUAAUCGUAUCUUUAAGUCUUUGGUAACGUGUACUCUGGCACUGGAAAUCUUUCAAGUGAUGCCAGAGUGAGUUUCAGAUACUGACAGUAGCAUCUUAUGUAAUGUUUUUAAAUUUAUGAAAGAUUUUGAUUUAAGAUAACCAUAUUUUGGAGGACCAGAGACACCAUAAUCUUAGGCUAUUAGGUGCGGCAGUAUCAAAGGCAUGAAAAAUGGAAAAAAGAAAAGUUAAAUGGUUCUCACAGUUUUUAGUGUCAAUUGUAUUACUGCAGUGUUCACUUUCUGCUGCUAAUUUUUUGUGAAGAUGAAGCCCUAGUAGGCUGGCAGAGUUGGAGGACCGUUCCCUUGUCCCACUGCUGACAGUAGAGGGUGAUGCUGCUGAUGCUGCUAAGGUACUUGACUACUCUCAUUAGGGUGAAAUUUACAAAUCAAAACCCUAUCUUUAUGAUCACUUGAACGUGCACCUCUUUUUAUUAUAAAUUUUUAAAUGAAGAGAGCACUUGCUUUUGUCAUGUGUGGGCAUGAGAUCUAAGGUGAAGUUAUUUACCAAAAGCACUGUCCCAGGAAUGUCUUUGAUAAAGUAAAACCUAUGUGUUUUUCCAGUUUCAGGUCCUUCAUCCAAUGCAGACUGUUUCCUAAAUUUUUACAUCAAAAUCUGGAAGAGUCAGCUGCUGACCCUCUCCCCAGGAAGAUGAAAGAUUUGGUGGUGAGACAUUUGCAUUGUGUCAUGUAGUAUAGGAGGACCUCAUCUUUUCAGGAGAGCUCAGGCUCUCAAUGGGGCUCUAGGCAGGUGGACAUAAGAAGGACUAGGACGGAAAGAGACACCUCAGCUUGGUACCUGGCACACUGGGCUGUUGAGCUGCCUGCCAGGUGCAGCCCUUUAGAGCAUCUUGAUGGUGGCUGUUAUGCACACCUGGCAUGGGUGCUUGGGUGUCCCUUAGUUGGCUGCAUUUUGCCAGGAUAGUCACAUGAGUCACAUUCAGUCAGUUUUGCCUAUUGCUGGCACCAAACAGCAGAUGGGCUCUGCACAAAUGAAAGCUUGUCAGAUAAAUGUUUAGCCAACCCGCCUUCCUGAUAUGGUCCACAUGCAACUCAUCUCCAUAGCUUCUCCCCUCAGCACCACACUGAGUUCAGAGCACUCUUUCAAAGUUGCUGUCUGCACAGCCAUUGCUUGGGCUUUAGACUUAGGGCUGGGUCACAGAGAAGCGAGUAACCAUACUGUGGGGAGCACGGGAGAAGAAAAGGAAGGAGGAGAGGGAGACAGAAGAGAAUCCUACAGCUAUAAAAUGAUAACACUUCCUUGUUCACCAGGAAAAUGGCUCUGGACAGCUUCAAACUUUUUUUUUUUUUUU